GCAGUCGUGGCCGAGUGGUUAAGGCGAUGGACUAGAAAUCCCUGCACAGGUUCGAAUCCUGUCGACUGUG
Molecule: non-coding RNA, 70 nt
Organism: Ixodes scapularis (black-legged tick)
Lineage: Eukaryota; Metazoa; Arthropoda; Arachnida; Ixodida; Ixodidae
Source: Rfam